This 253-nucleotide ribosomal RNA is filed under the name uncultured bacterium. Its description in RNAcentral is "partial 16S ribosomal RNA". It matches the Rfam family "Bacterial small subunit ribosomal RNA", at positions 524 to 776 of the family's 1533-position model. The record is from RNAcentral.
UACAGGGGGUGCAACCGUUGCUCGGAAUUAUUGGGCGUAAAGCGCACGUAGGCGGUUCGUUAUGUCAGAUGUGAAAGCCCUUGGCUCAACUGAGGAAGUGCAUCUGAAACUGGCGAGCUGGAGUAUGUAAGAGGGUCGCGGAAUUCCCGGUGUAGAGGUGAAAUUCGUAGAUAUCGGGAGGAACACCGGUGGCGAAGGCGGCGACCUGGGACAAUACUGACGCUGAGAAGCGAAAGCGUGGGGAGCGAACAGG